AACAGGAGUGCUUAAUAUAUUAGGCUGAGAGACGGUCUGAUUAGAACGUCAAUCCUAAGGGGAAACCCGUAACCUGAUCCGGAUAAUGCCGGCGUAGGGAGUAUAU
Molecule: non-coding RNA, 106 nt
Filed under: bovine gut metagenome
Source: RNAcentral